This is a long non-coding RNA of Pan troglodytes (chimpanzee), 880 nucleotides long. The record is from Ensembl. NCBI's taxonomy places the organism in Eukaryota, Metazoa, Chordata, Mammalia, Primates, Hominidae.
GGGAUGGGGAGACAGUGACUUAAAGCAUCACAUAAAUGAAUGCAAAUUAUGGCUGUGUAAAGGAGAGGCCCCUCGUGCAAAGAAAACAAAGCAGGGAAACCUUUUCUCCUCUGGGGUUGAGUGAAGACCUUCCUAGUGGAGGAAAGGAAUAUAAAGAUGUCGCAGGAAAAAGAGAAGCCAGUGUGGCCAGAUCUUCAAAGAAAGAGAUAUCCUUUCGAGGCAACACAAGAAGCCAACUACAGAUGAGAAUAUUAUUCUCUUGGUGCAGGGAUUGUUGCAUGUGGACCCCAUCAGCCUUGAAAAGUCCAUGGCUUCAACACUCUGUGGCCUUUGACAGGCAUGAAGAAAAGCAAGACCAAAACAGUUCUCACAACACAGCCGGUGGUCACAAAGAACAGCCCAUGGAGAUGUCUGUCACUGAAAAGAGUGGUCUCUGGAAAAGAACCAAAAGUAAAAGAGGUGGAAAUGGAGUUAGAAAAAGAGAGAUUGAAAGUAGAUGAAAUAUAAUAUUUGAACACUUAAACGUAAAUAUUAAAUCCUGAAAAACACCAGUGGCUAGAAUCAUAGGCAUAUAUUUUCUUUCUCUCUUUUACCUCCAACAGUGUUAUCAAUAAAAAGAGUUUGGAAGUACAGGUGGUCAAUCAAACAAUUAGGUUUUUAAAAAUCUUCUAGAACAUUCUGAUAUCUGAGGAAAAUUGACUUAUAAGUCCCAGAAGGAGGAAUGGAAUGUUCCUAGAAACAAUAAACUUAGUCCCUCACUCUAUUACUUUAUUUAUUUAUUUAUUUAUUUAUUUAUUUUCAUCUUUAAUAAAGCAAUAUCACAUUUUACAUAUUAAUUAUCUCAUCUGGUUUUUUUUCUAAACUGUAUUGUUGAUAUUCA